ACGUGCAAUAGAGUUCUUUGUGAGAGUCUAGAUAAAGCUGUCUAUUAUAUGCGCUAGGUUUUAUAUUGCACUUAUAUGUAUUGUGCAACUACUCGCUUAGGUCUUUCAACAAAAUGAAGGAAGUUUUGUGCUGUCGUCACUUGACUUCUUAGACUCCGAGUCCUCCUUUGUUACAUAUGGACAAUUGCUCUGUACGGCUGCAAAUCUUGGACAAUCAAAGAAGAUAGCCGCCGACGCUUAGAUGCAUUUGAGUUGUGGUGCUAUCGACGCAUGCUUUGAUUAGGCUGGGUUCAGAAGGUUCUUAAUCAGAACACUGUCUGUAUUUUAAACUCUGGGCAUUAGAAAAUGGAGCUGAUAGCGCAGAAAAAUAAAUCAGGGCCCACGCACGCGACCUAGCACAAGAAAGGGACAAAAAAAGCUAGCAAGAAAAACGCUCGCGAGUAUAGGGCUGUCUGUGGUCUUACUUGGAAGUGCUAUGCCUGUUGGACCAAAAAUUGUUUUGAGUAGAGAGGAACGUACUUCGCACUAUUUCAAGUCAGAUACCUCGGCUUCUUCUUGUAUUAAGGAGUAAAAUGUGAUACUUAAUACUGUUAGCCUAGUGGCUUCAGCGUGCUCUAAUUCCUGAGGCUGAGUUUCGCUCAGUGUACCAAAGGACUAUCACACUCGCUGAUACAGGGAAGGUACAUCGCCAGCAAUGAGGCAUGUCUUCUUUAAAAAGAUGACGGCGUGUGUCGGGCACAUACUGCUAUGACAACAGGACUUUGUUUAUUACACUGACGGCUACGGUUCUGGCAAGGCAAGGUGCUUCGCAAGCUUUAGAAAAAGAACGAUUUUGUGAUUUAUACCAUUUGCAUCAUAUAAUUUUGAUGUGUUUUAAAUAGACUGAUAUUUUGGAGCCAACAGACGUUGUUACGACGGUAAGCUACCGAAGAAUAGGAUAUGGUGAAAUGCCACUAGUCCCGACUCACUCCUCUUAAUUGUGAAAAACAGUCUUAUCAGUGAGUAUCAAAAACAAAUAUAAAAAAACUACAAUAACCAACGCCAAACUUGACUGCGAUUGGCGGGUGCUGGCGUGCAUCACACAAGCUUGGCUUUAUAAGAAAACUUAUGAAAAGCUAUACUUUGACUCAAGUGUAUGACUAACAAAGAAGGUACAUUUCGUUUGUAAAAACAUGUAUGAACAAUGAUGUUUUGAUAUUAAACUAAACGUUGAUUACUGGAAAAAGCGUAACCAUUGUCUAGUUUGUAAACUAUGACUGGACUUGCUAGUUGCUUAGCAUAAAAUUUAUAUACAAAAUUCAACCCGUGAAAAAAUUUAGUAGGAAAAUACUGCGAAAUGGCGGGCAGAUACACUCCUGAAUACAAAUGUCUUUACUACACAACAUUCGAGAGUGGAUGGGGGUCAAUCAGUGGAACAAGUGUUCAGAUUGGUAAUGAACAAAGAGAGUGACUGCCGACAGUACUUGGGUAGGCACCUCAAGAAAAAGGAAAAUGCUGGAAUGAUAACAUAUGUCGAUAAAAGAAUUAAUCUAUGCGUUCAAAGAUUAAAGUAUAAAUCUAUAUUUCUAAUCUGGGCUAAUAAGGCUGUGUAGGGCCGUAUGCAAAGUGUAGGUAAACGUGUCGAUCUCAUUUAAUUGCAUUCGUGUUUUUAGAUUUUGUAAUUAAAUACUAGUUUUAUUCAUUUCAAUAUUCUUAUUUUCCACUAUGCUAAUUAUCUAUAUUUCAAUAACAAAAUUGUAACUUAUCUGUAGAUGCUUGAGUUGCGUUGAGUAUUUUUUAUUCCAACAUUUCUGUGUUGAAACAAAGUUCUGAUUUCAUUUUUUUCUAUAAAUUCUGAUACUGCAAAGUUUUAAUGCUAAUUGGAAUUUAAAAAUGUAAGUAAAGAUUAAGUUGUGACUUAAUUUUUCAACAAGGACUAAGUUUGUACCUGUUGUCACAAUUUUGACGGUGGAGCUUUUCUUUGCUACUAAGCCUACUUUAUUACAUCCGUUUAAUUAAAUUAUUGUCUCCUUCUUUCAAAUUUUAUAUACGCUGUAAUGAAAAGAGCUAUUAAAAAGGUACAAUAAGACUGAUUUUAUUUAUGAAUAGAUUGAUUUUUUUUAAUUGGUAACACACAUUGCUGAGAGGUUUUCCAUUGAAGAAAUGAAGAGAUUGGAAUGUAUCAAAGCUCACACUACUGAGAAAAAAAGAAUGAAUAAGCAAUCGCAAAAUAAAUUCUUUGCCCCAUUGGUAGGUUACGGGAUCCCAGGUCAAAUCCAGUUAGUAACAAUGCAAUACAAUUUUAAAUUCAUGAAGGAAACUCAUAGUUUUUAUACAUAAAUAUAGUAAAAUUAGUCCAAUAGCAUCACCAUCCCAUGACUACUAUCAAUGGCCCUAAAUUUACGUCAAAUUUGUCUUAUAGAGAAGUAAAAUCUUUUGUAUCGGACAGGGGCGGCUCACGAUAGAUUGCGAUACUUUCAAUCACUGAACGAACAAGUAUUUAUUGGAGAUAUAAGAAACUCCAAAAGAACGCACGAUAAAAAUAUUGAAAAUCGCAGACUUUAGAUCUAGGCUCGUUUUAUAAAACCUUAUAUUACAGCACUAAAAUAAUUUUAUGUUGUAAUCAUCGCAAAAUCUAAUUAUAAAAUUAAUUCUUACACACGUAGGAGUUUAUUACUGUUCUAAUUACUGUGAACCAGUACUAUAAAGUUUUAUCGUGAAAUCUUGGUUCGAUUCCCGGUGUAUUAACCAUUUUUUCUGACGACGAUGAAGUAUAUGAUGCAAAUUUGCAUUCAAAUACGCCGGGCUGUAAAGCGUAUA
This is a long non-coding RNA of Pieris brassicae (large cabbage white), 2799 nucleotides long. RefSeq lists it as uncharacterized. The transcript is spliced from 8 exons. The record is from RefSeq and is a predicted model, not a curated record. NCBI's taxonomy places the organism in Eukaryota, Metazoa, Arthropoda, Insecta, Lepidoptera, Pieridae.